GGCGAAUAAUUUUCACUGUAUUGAAUUGGAGAAUGUGAUUAUCAAUAUUAGUCUAGACAUGCAUUUGAAUUUACAUAAAUAUCAUACAAGUUCCCAGCUAUUUUCUCAUUAGUUUUUUUUUUCAGUUUCCGAUGUGUUGUUUUUACUAAUUAAACAUCUUCUCGGUCCACAGAGAAAUCAGGCUCAUCAGGUUUAAACAACUGGGGCAUCUUUAAGCUGGAGGACGCAGAAUCAACUUUAACUUUCUGAUGAGUCCCUCUUCUAGUAUUUGCAGCAAAUUUUGAAGCCAAAAUUGGGGCUCCUAGAUGCUGAACAUUGUUUGCAUCGUCGAUUGAUAACCUCUCACCACUCACGUUCCCGUAAUCUCCAUCUGCUAGCUCAUUGCAAUGGUAAUACCUUUCCUCUGGGACUGAAAUGUAAGCGAGGCUCCCUCUUUGCAGCCAACUCUUUGGCCAUCCUUCUUUUCUGAUAUCUUCUCCAAACAGAUUGAAUCAAGCAAGCAGCCCAUGUACUCCAUUGGUGAGAAUAGUACCUGAAGGCAUGCUGUAGCUUCUUGCUUUGAAGUCUCUUGAAUUGUUGUGCAACAAAUUUAAGGUCUUCAGCUUGAAGUGCAAAAGCUUCGACUUCAGAAAGAGCUCUGACAGUCCUAGUUGAAGAAGGCAGGUUUCCACUAGAAUUGGGCAUUAAGGCCCAUGUCAAUAAUUCCUCACCGCAGAAGUCACCAGGUCUAAGGGUGAUGGAGUUGAAGAAUCCAGAUCUUCGUCCAUUAGUCGUUGAGCUCUCCAAUUGUCCUCUAAUUAUAAACAGCAUCUCAUUUGCUGGAUCACCUUCUUGAAAUAUAUAGGUUCCCUGAGUACUCAAAGAAGAGACAAGGCGUUUACAUAUGGCAUCAAGUAGCUGUUCAUCCAUUUGUGAGAAAAAUGGGACCUAUGAAAUGAAAGAAUGAAAAUAUGGAUUUAAGAAUAUUUUUAGAGAAUAAAUUGCAAUCUAUCCAUGCUGCAUGAUGAUUCCUUUAAAGAGAUCAGAUGAUCAUGUAAACUAACCAAGAAAAAUAUUCUGUCAUAUCAAAGUCAGGAUGAGGGUUACAAAUGAAUUAGCCGUGUACUUGCUACAAUUGCAACCUCAAUGGGGAAUAUGCCUCCCAGGUGCAAAGAAGCAAGUUCCAGGUUGACUAGCAACAUACAUCUUUGCACUUAUGGAGAUACUUCAGCUGAACAAAAAUCUAAGUAUAUGUGGUGCGUGUAACAGAAAACCUUUCUUGAAUUGCAAACAGCUAUAUUUACUGAUGGUUCACACUGCUAUUUCAGGUGUAUUAUCCUCUAAAUAUUAAAUCAUCAACAAUAUAUCAGAAAAAGAAACCAGGAUAAAUAACAUACACGACGAACAAGGGCCAGACAUAAAUGUUGCUGAAUUUCUCGUCGAAGAUCCAAUGGCAGUGAAUGCAAUAUAGAUUCUUCAUGAACUCCUCUCGUAGCAAGCCAUUUGUACUGAACAAACCGACGCACGCGUUCCUGCAAAUCUGGAGGUAAUUGGUGAUGCCUCAUCCACUCCUCUGUAUCUCUUCGCUUAAUCCUCCACUCUUCAACUCUCGCCGUCAUAGACUGCAAAUUAGUCUGCAUGUUGCCAAUCAACUGUGCUGAGAGAACUAAACCAAGAAUACAUGUAAUGAUGCAGAAGAUGUUCUCACCAACAAAUGUGCUUGUCUCCAAAGUUUGUGCAUAUGAGCUGCCAACAGAAUAAGAAGAUGUUUCACCAUGAACAAUAAAAUCAAAAUCAUCAGAAAAAUAACAUGCAAUAUAUCACUUAGACAUAAGGAUGAAAAAAUGAUUGAAUAUGUGGAAUCCUUACAUGAGACUAAAUUUGCUAAGGAUAAUCUACAGUGGGAUGUCUGUACAAAAAAAUUUUGACUUGUAGCAAUUACCAUUGCAUUAUUGAAAUUAGAACUGCAGAAACUAAUGCCACUUUCAUAUUUAUUCUAAAUAUUCUUUCAAAAAGAAAAACUAAGCAGCUUGUGAUUUUGCAAGUGAUAAAUCUGAAUUCAUGUGAAUGACCAUCAGCUCAACCAAUGUCACAGAAAAUUACAUAUAGAACUCUCAGUUUCCUUUAAUGCAAUCUGUGAGCAAAAGACUCCUGUUUUCUGUUUUCUUGACAGAGUAGCUGAUACUGAAUCCCAAGGAAUCCAUUUUAACUAUGAUCACUGAACCUAAUUCAUGUAGACAAAUACUAGAUCUUUUCUAGAUCCAUAUUGAACUACUUUUCUUCACAUAUUAAACUACUAUAUUAGUCCCUUGUUAUACUUUCAAAUUUUAAUCCCUGACUAGCAUCCUAUAUGACCUUAGAUUGUAUAUCAAUGUCAUAAAAAUUCCUAACCUCAUCCUGUGCAUUUGACUUGUGAAGCAUCCCAUGUGUACCAGAAAUAUCAAAGCGGCAUUACCACAUAGGAUGCUACUACAUAUGGUACAUUAUGCAGGUGCAUGUAGGAUUAUUUGCAUCCAAAUAAGAUAUCUUCCACAUAAAUAAAUUUAGAAAUGAAUGAUUACAUAUUUAUUUAUGAAGUCUUUAAGAUAUAAACCUAAAUAAUGCCAAACAAAAAGAUGAACUGAAACAUAAUAGUUAUUUUAUAAAAUUAAUUAAGGUAAAGAUAAACCAAACUGAGGAUAAAUGUAGCACAGAAUCUACAUACAAAACAAGCUAUCAGUUCAUAGACUGCAAAAUGGCACUUGCUGAAUCUCAUACCUUAAAUUUCUUAAGGCCCACCACAGACAAUAUAAGUACUUAUUAAUAAAAGGUGAGGUAGCAACAUCAUUUGUAAAAGCACCAGAAAAUAUUCCAAAGUGAAAUAAAAAUUGCUGUCAUUUGGGUCACAAUUAGCAGGAACAUGAGUGACAUUCCGCCAGUAUUGACGUUCAAAUUUUCCCAAACUGCUACAAUCUAGAAAAGGCUCAAUGCAACCUAAAGUUCCUGACUUAUUCUCCUUUAAACACUCUGACUUCCAGCAGUAGAAUUGCCGCCCCAGCGAUAACAGGUACCAUGAAGCUCCUAACGUAUGACUAGCAAGCAUGUAAAGAAGGAGAUUGUAUGCAGCGCCUGCCCAAGCAGUCUUGGCAACAAAGCCAGUAGUUUUUACAAUACGUUGAGGCAAAGGGAAGAUAACAAAAAGUCUGGGAAUAUAUUGAAUAAGAACUAUGAGAGACAAUGCACUGUUAGUAUGAUCAGCACUAUUAUUUCUUGUGGCUGGAAUUACUACCCAAAUGACAAACUGCAAGGAAGAAGUUUUACAAUCACUUAAACCAUGGAAGAUGGUAAAGUAGCAAUUAUAGAAUUGAAAACAGGGUUUGAUAAAGGUUCUUCUCUACGCUCUGCUAUCUGUGAGACGCUCAAUGCUAACCACAAUCUGUCCUAGAUUAGAAAUUAAUCCAAGACCAUAACCAUUGCAUCUCAUGGGCUACUAAUCUGUAUUAUGGAAAAUUUUAAUUUUGCGUAAAUUGAGACUAUCUCAAUGUUUCCAACCCCUAAUUAAUUUUCCAUACCCGUAUUAUUCUAUUACAAACUACACCUGAUUCUUUUGUCUCAGUUCCUUUCUGAUUAGGCUCAAUUUCUCAAAUGGAGCCUACCUGAGGAAGCGGAAGCGCAGCGGCUAGAUCGAUAACGAAAUCGGACUUGAGAUAACGCAUGGCAAUUUCCCUAGAGUCCAUGACGAGUUCACCCCAUCCGAAAACCCUAGAACUCGGAGCAACAAAAGCUGUACGGAACUACAUGAGAAUGUGCAGCGAGAAGAAUGCGUCAGCAAUAGACCUAAAAUAGGUGAUCAAGAUAGCAAGGCGAUUGUCGUUGCUCAAGCAGACGCCGUCGGCACCCACAUAGGGGAGGAAAAAGAACAGAGGAUCGAUAAAGAGAGCAAUAAUUUAGGUUAUGAGGAAGACGUAGUUCCAAUAUGUGACAAUGUCGCUGUCCGGAUCGAGUAUCUGGUAGCGCCAUAGGAUAAGGAGAGGGUGAGCGUCUGCUGUAGUGCUUGAGGCAGAGAGAGACGGAGAAAUAAGGAGUUUACGGAAGCGCUGGAGGUGGCGGAACUUGAAAUUUGGGUUGGGGAUGAAUCUAUUCAUCUUCCAUGGCGGAGUUUUGGGCGGAAUUCGGAUUCCGCGGAGAGAAGAAAGAGAGGAAAGCAAUUUGAAGGAAAGGUGAUAAUUCGGAGGCGAAGAAACAGUAGAAAAAUCAUUGCACAGAGAGAGAGGAGGAGGAGGAAGGAGGGUGGAGAGGGAUAGAGUGGUGGUGAUGAUGAUGGUUAUGGUUGAGAUUGAGAUGAGAAUUUAGCGCGAAACGCGAGAACCACGCGGAUUUUGGAGAAAAU
This 4348-nucleotide unclassified non-coding RNA is filed under the name Hevea brasiliensis (rubber tree). The record is from RNAcentral. Lineage: Eukaryota; Viridiplantae; Streptophyta; Magnoliopsida; Malpighiales; Euphorbiaceae.